RNAcentral lists this ribosomal RNA (253 nucleotides) under uncultured bacterium. Its description in RNAcentral is "partial 16S ribosomal RNA". It matches the Rfam family "Bacterial small subunit ribosomal RNA", at positions 524 to 776 of the family's 1533-position model. The record is from RNAcentral.
UACGUAGGGGGCAAGCGUUGUCCGGAUUUAUUGGGCGUAAAGAGCGUGUAGGCGGCUUUACAGGUCCGUUGUGAAAACUCGAGGCUCAACCUCGAGACGCCGAUGGAAACCAUCUGACUAGAGUCCGGAAGAGGAGAGUGGAAUUCCUGGUGUAGCGGUGAAAUGCUUAGAUAUCAGGUGGAACACCAGUGGCGAAGGCGGUGUUCUGGGCCAGUACUGACGCUAAUGCGCGAAAGCGUGGGGAGCGAACAGG